Molecule: ribosomal RNA, 450 nt
Filed under: uncultured bacterium
Lineage: Bacteria
Description: bacterial SSU rRNA
Rfam family: Bacterial small subunit ribosomal RNA
Source: RNAcentral
AGCGAACGCUGGCGGCAGGCUUAACACAUGCAAGUCGAACGCCCGGGCAACCGGGAGUGGCAGACGGGUGAGUAACACGUGGGAACAUACCCUUUGGUUCGGAAUAACUCAGGGAAACUUGAGCUAAUACCGGAUAAGCCCUAACGGGGAAAGAUUUAUCGCCGAAGGAUUGGCCCGCGUCCGAUUAGCUAGUUGGUGAGGUAACGGCUCACCAAGGCGACGAUCGGUAGCUGGUCUGAGAGGAUGAUCAGCCACACUGGGACUGAGACACGGCCCAGACUCCUACGGGAGGCAGCAGUGGGGAAUAUUGGACAAUGGGGGCAACCCUGAUCCAGCCAUGCCGCGUGAGUGAUGAAGGCCCUAGGGUUGUAAAGCUCUUUCGGCGGGGACGAUAAUGACGGUACCCGCAGAAGAAGCCCCGGCUAACUUCGUGCCAGCAGCCGCGGUAAU